GUGACCCUGCUCCCAGCCUCCUCCCCCUGCCCCCUGCCCUCUCCCAGCCUCUAUGUCCUGCACCUUUUCCUUCUGUGUAAGGAGCCCCCACUGAGCUGCGCUCCCUGAGCUGCGCUCCCUGAGCUUGUUUCUUGCGUCUCCUCAGAUCCAGUCCCCCCCGCUCCAGCACCUGCAGGACCCCCCAGUCACCUUCCCUCUUCCUCCCCACUGGGCCUGCUCCGCCUUGGCUUCUUGCUUCACCCCUCAUUCCCGCUGGCUGUGGCUUCCGUCACUGUGUCCUGUGUCUGGACCCCAGUGAGUGCCCAGGGUGGUGCCACAGCCGUUUCCACCCUGCCCUGCGCUUAGCCCAGAAUAUGCAGUAGGUGCCCAGUUAAUGGCCUCGGUGCCCCCUCCGCCUCUGGGAACCCCAUCACCUGGUUCCCACGCUCCCACUUCCCGGCUCUGUUCCCCAAACCACACAGGGAGGCUGAACUCCGCACAGCCUGCACGCCUGCGCCCUCUGCCGGUCAUGCGGGUGGGACCGGCGAGGGACAGUGCGCCCGCAGAGGUUUCUCCCUCACCACGGCCUCUCGUGCGGAGUUGGUCUUGACCUGCUCGGCGACCUAGUAACGUGGUUGUAGCACUUAAGGAUUCUGCACAGCACUCCGCAGGGCUGUGCAGUUAGAGCCUCGGUUCAUCCGUCUGCAGAGCGCUGUUAAGAUCACCACGAAAAGACCCACCAGCAUGGCCCCUAAAACUACCAGAGCGGGUCUCCAGUUCACAGGAGGAAAGAGCUCAGAGCCUCCGUCCCUGAGUUUUGGAGCUAUAGUGGGGGUGGCAGUGGCUGCCACCAUUGCACUCAUAGCCAUAAUUGUGGGACUGAUGGUCUUCCUUAAGUGGCAGAGAAAAAAAGGUCAGCAGGUUGAAGCCCAAAGCCCCGCCGGGGAACUUGUCGAAAGCACUGAGAACUAUGAGAACACUAAGUACGAAGAAAAACAUAAAGACGCCCAGCUGAACCCCCAGAAUGACAUCGUCUAUGCCUCUGUCACCCUCUCCAACUUGACCUCACCCCGAGCACCUCUCUGCCAACCUUCCCACGAGACGCCCCAAGAAGAGAUACUGUACACUCUCCUAAAGACCUAGAGUGGGACUGGAGGACAAUCUGUGAGUCCGGUAGGAAUGAUCACAGCUUCCAACAGUAGCUAAGAUGGCUCAGAAGUCAGCGAGUUUGACUCAGAAGUCAGCCAGAAAGGAAUUGAAAAAGCCGUCUAUAUUAGUUCCCUCUUCAACUUCCAAGCCCUUGCUCAGAAACACAAUGACCCACAAAAUGUGUCGAUUGCAUUUAAAGACGAAACUGAUGUCAACUUCAACUUCUGCUUCUCCACUAAAAAUAAAUUCUAAUAGAUAAUUCUUAUCUAAGGCCCCUACUUUUUUUUUCACUGACUGCCUCAAUCUGGGGAACACAAAUCCCCAAAUACUCGUAGCAGCUGUUACGGUUCGGAUCUAAAAUGACCCCGUAUUCUCAGGUGUGUGGAGGGUGACUGGCUCGCAGGGGUGCGGCACUCAUCAGUGGACUCCUCCACAGAUGAGGAGCUACGUGUGCUGUUAAAAGGUGGGGUCUGGUUGGAAGGCAUGGGGACGCAUGAACUGGAAGGAUGUAUUCUUGUCCCCGGCAGGAUCCUCCCUGCUCUCUGCGUCUGGCUGCCACGCACUGCGCACCUUUUCUCCACCAUCCUGCUUCUGCCUUGGAUCUUGCUGACCAUGCACUGAAACCAUGAGCCGAAAUAAACCUCUCCUCCUUUAAGGUGUGGGUGCCAGUUACUGUGUCUAAGCAACAGGAAAGUGACUAAGAUAUCAGCCUCGGCCCCGGGGCUGCUCCCAAGUCGGAUCAUAAUCUCCUCUCGCUGUGGUAACCACCGCACGCUGGGACUGCACCAUACACCCCCCCCCCACUGAACCGUGCCCAGCACCCAAGCAAGAUGGUGCGCUGCUGAGGCAUGGGCGUAAGGGCAGGUGAUGAGGUGCUUUCCCGAAGCAGGUAGCAGCUAGUAAGCAGCCGAGCCAGGCUUUUUUCUGGGGCGGGUGGUACUGGGAAUUGAACGCAGGACCUUGCACUUGCCGGGCAGGCACUUGCGCCACUGAGCUAUAUCCCCGCCCCCAAGCCAGGCUUUGAAUGGACCUGUCCUUCUGGAGGGUCUCCCAGGACUCGGGUCUCACUGCUUCGCCCGGGUUCCCACCCUGUGCAGGCCUCCGCCAGGGACGACAAUGUGCCACGGUGACACGGGGUGAGGGCAAGACCCGAAGUGACACAGGUGGUCACACACACCAGCCAAACAGACCACACAUGCAGCCCACUUUAUUAACACAAACUGAGAAGCUACUGAACCUUGCAGCCGAUUAACAAGUCAAACACUUAAGAACGUGUCAGAGACUGAACCAAAAGGCCCUCUCUGUGGUUUCAGAGAGAGUAAGAGGAGGGCAGGGGGCCAGCACUGCUUAUCACAGGAGGCCACAAAGAGUGCCCUGCAUCGUCUCAGUCUCACAGCUCCCCUCCUCCUUCUGACUUUCUUCCAAUAUCUUCCAUGAUCUGCUCCAGGUCCAGGCCAACGGAGGCUUCAUCUUCAAGGCAGACACUUCCAGGCUCCUGAAUCAGCGGCUCUUGGGGUGUAGAUCUUUCUUUCCCCUCUAAAGGAAGGGCCCUAUGAUGAGGUGGUGGGGUGAGGCCCUUUGGCACCAUUCUAACUUCCUUUUCCUCAGGCAGGAUAACUGCUGGAGUCUUGCUUUGGGGAACUUGAAAUCUUUUCUUAGAUCCUAAAUGAAAAAGGAACAAAGUUGAGAGUCCCACUGGUCAGUCUAGUCUGACUUUUACAAGUCAAAUUCUUAAAUGCCCACACUGGUAAAAUCUCUGGAAAAGGUGACCUUUCUUAGUACACAACACAUGGGCUUUUGGAUCAGAAAGACUUAAGACUGAAGCCAUAAAUCAGCCACAUGCUCAACAUGGGUCUUAAGUUUUAAAAUCUCUGCGCAUCAGUUUUCUUAAAUUUAAAAUGGCAAUUGUCUAGUCAUAGAGCUACUGAAAGAAUUAGAAGGAACAAGCGUGGAAGUAUCUAGCCAGCCAUGGCAAAUCCAACAAAAAUCUUUUCCCCACCAUUCUCCCAUAUCUGGAUUCAUCAAAUUAAUAACCACUGCUUUUCUUUUUUUGAGACCGUCUCACUAUGUAGCCCAGGAUGACCUCAAACUUGCAGUGAUCCUCCUGCCUCAGCCUCCUGAUUGCUGGGAUUACAGGCACGUGCCACUAUACCUGGCCCCAUUAUAUUUCGUAGCAUGUUCUAAGUACAAUCUGAGACAUACCCUUUUCAUUCUGAAUUUCAUGCUUUCCUCAAAGUAACAAAACACUAUAGGAAUGCUCAGAAAUGAUCCAGGGAGGAAAGAUAACAGACAUGGGCCUCAUUUCCUCAUAAUUUUUUAGAUGUUGAACCUUACCUGGCUGGUCCAGAUCUGGAUUCCUUUGCUCUUCUUUCCGUUCCAUUAUGGGUACAGAGGGCACUGUGGAUUCACUGUGCAGACAUCUCUUGGUUACCUUCUUUUUCACAAUCUUGUCUUGUCCGUCCACUGUGCCUACAUCACCCCAUCCCAAACAUGAAGAAAAUGUAUUUCUCUCUAAACAGCGCGGCAAGGGCAGAUGGUCCCCCCACAUUUAGUCUCUGCCCUGCUCAACAUCUUCUGCUCAUUUUCAAUCUAGUGAGUUCUCUGUGGUUCUGACUUUCCCAACCAUCUUGAUUUUUUUUGUGUGUGUGUGUGUGUCUUUUUGAGACUGGGUCUCUCACUAGGCAGUUCAGGCUGGUCUUGAGCUCACUUUGUAGCCCAGGCUGGUCUUGAACUCACAACAGUCCUCCUGCCUCAGUCUCCCGAGUGCUGGGAUUACAGGCGUGUGCCACCACGCCCUGCCUUUGAUUUUUUUUUUUAAUUCCCUGGAUCUUCUCUUUAAGAUUUUCUUCAGAGCCUGCCUUCUCCAGGAAGUUGUCCUUCCUGGCUAAGAAUUUAAAACUUUGCAACUUUAACCUAAGAUUUUAUAAAACACAAAAUGAGGUGGCCCACCAGGCAGUGACACAUGUCUACAAUCCCAUAAUUCUGGGAGGCUGAGGCAGGAAGGGCACGGGUUCAAGCUCAGCCUGGGCCAACUUUAGCAACAUGGAGAUCCUGUCUCAAAAUUUUAAAAAAUAUCAAAAAAGGGCUGGGGAUGUACCUCUGUGCAAAGGCCCUUAGUUCAAUCUCCAGCACAGCAAUAAUUAUCUACUUAAAACGAAGCUACACUUCCUCCCUAACACGAUAAGCUAGUCUUGCCUGUUUUUUGAGGUCCGGACCUGAAACAAUCAGUGAGGUCCGACUACCUGCAGAUCCCCUUCCACCCUCUGCCUCUGCCUGCCCUCACUUUGUGACAGGUUCCCUUUCCAGGUGGCCUGCUUACCUUUCGGCUUGGGGUUUUUGGUCUUUAUCUUGGCUGACUUGGGACCAGGCAAAGUUGGGUCCUGCGGAUGGGAGAGAAAUUUAUUUUAAAAGAUAAACUGAGCCACAUAACUAUAUUUAACAGAGAAGGACACUAUAAAAUAAUAGGGGGGCUGACUCCUAAAAGGGGUCCUCCAUGAGCUGGUCAAUGUCUAAAUGUGUGGCCGCACAAACAAAAUGUGUGGAGACGUUCCCAUUCCACUUAGUAUUUGUCAAUGCAAGGCUUUCUGCAUCAAAGGAAAUAAAAGGAGGCCAGAAGCAUGGCAAAAGUAGGUAAAUUUUAAAAAAGGAAGUCAAAAAUCUAUGUGUCAUAUUCCGGCAAAAGAGAUCCAAAGAAAAUGAGCGACUGAAUGUCCUAAGUGUCCACAUGAGGGGAGAAAAGGGCAGAGGGAAGCAAUCUGCUGUUCUCUAAAACUGCCCCAGGUAGAACCAAAGAAAUACAGUAGAAACUGAGAUUAUAAUCAGGGAUUUCUGAGAAAGAUGAAGU
This 4972-nucleotide long non-coding RNA is filed under the name Chinchilla lanigera (long-tailed chinchilla). RNAcentral describes it as "lncRNA (ENSCLAG00000027836.1)". Lineage: Eukaryota; Metazoa; Chordata; Mammalia; Rodentia; Chinchillidae. The record is from RNAcentral.